GACGAACGCUGGCGGCGUGCUUAACACAUGCAAGUCGAACGGAAACGCGCUGCUCUUGUGGGGUGCUCGAGUGGCGAACGGGAGUGAUACAUGUGAGCAACCUGACCUUGACUUUGGGAUAACUCCAGGACACUGGGGCUAAUACCGGCUAGGAGCUCCUGCUGCAUGGUGGGGGUUGGACAGCUUCGGCGGUUGGGGAUGGACUCGCGGCUUACCAGCUUGUUGGUGGGGUAGUGGCCUAGCGGGGCUUUGACGGGUAGCCGGCAUGAGAGGGUGACCAGGCACAUGGGGACUGAGAGAGGGCCCAGAGGGCAACGUGGGGCAGCGGUGGGGAAUAUGGCACAGUGAGGGGGAGCGUGAUGCGGCAGCCCCGCGGGCGGGAUGACGGCCUUCGGGUGGUAAACCGCUUUCGGCUAAUACGAAGCGGGGGUGACGGUAAUGGGUGAAGAAGCACCGGCUAACUACGUG
RNAcentral lists this ribosomal RNA (468 nucleotides) under uncultured bacterium. RNAcentral's name for it is "partial 16S ribosomal RNA". It matches the Rfam family "Bacterial small subunit ribosomal RNA", at positions 28 to 507 of the family's 1533-position model. The record is from RNAcentral.